UUUUUGUGGUGUCCCGGGAUAUAAAGGUCUUACAUAGGACAUAAGAAAGUCACUUGGCUGAUAUAAAAGGAAGAGGAAAGAAGAAUCCAUGAAGUCAUAACCAGUGCAAAGAAGCUGAAGAAUACACAAUGGAAUUCAUGUACUUUGAGCUCAGUGGUCAGAAUAGGUUCCUCUGGCAAGUCUGGGAGUUUGGCUUUGAUGGAACAUUUGAGAAAACUCAGUGAACGUGGACCUGAUGGAUGGCUAAGACUCUUCUUAGCACUUAAGAAAAUGUACAACCAUAGAAUAAAACAAUGUGUUCUUGAG
Molecule: long non-coding RNA, 306 nt
Filed under: Cavia porcellus (domestic guinea pig)
Lineage: Eukaryota; Metazoa; Chordata; Mammalia; Rodentia; Caviidae
Description: lncRNA (ENSCPOG00000032160.1)
Source: RNAcentral